CUUCAUGAAGACACCAAGGCUUCACUAAAUAUAAAACCAGACAAAACCCAAAAAGCUUCUCAUAGCUGCCCCCUGAGGACUCUGCAAAUCUUCAUAUUUUGUUAGGUCUGUUCCAUCUCUGUUCUACCAGCCGGCAAGGCUAAGAUCAGUUCGGUUGGAAGAUGUCCACCAAGUACGUAGUAGCAGCGGUGCUGGGAUCAUUUGCAAUUGCUUGGGUAAAAGAUCACUACGUUGCCGAUAGGAAGAUUUUUGGAGGCACCACGCCGAGGACAGUGGCGAACAAAGAGUGGUGGGAGGAGACCGAUCGGAAGUUCCAGGCAUGGCCUCGGACAGCAGGUCCCCCUGUGAUCAUGAACCCAUCAGUCGCCAGAAUUUCAUCGUCAAGCCGCCCUGCGAUGUUUGAAUAGUUCAAUGCCUGCCAAAUCAUCUGGUUGGAAAAUGGAGUUUACGGAGGUAGAUUCAAACACGCUUGUAGUAGAUGCCAGUGCUGGUAAUAAAUCAUACCACCUUAUGGAAUAAAUAAGGGUAAAAGCUGAGACUUGUCUUGAGAGUCGACGCACAUUCGGUCGUACUCGUGGAAGUUUAAAUAUAUAAACGAAGUCCAGCGCAUUUUCUUUAUUAAUCGAAAAUAAAGUACUUUC
Punica granatum (pomegranate) is the source of this 641-nucleotide non-coding RNA. Lineage: Eukaryota; Viridiplantae; Streptophyta; Magnoliopsida; Myrtales; Lythraceae. The record is from RefSeq and is a predicted model, not a curated record.